RNAcentral lists this ribosomal RNA (484 nucleotides) under uncultured bacterium. RNAcentral's name for it is "partial 16S ribosomal RNA". It matches the Rfam family "Bacterial small subunit ribosomal RNA", at positions 31 to 507 of the family's 1533-position model. The record is from RNAcentral.
AUGGAACGCUGGCGGCAGGCCUAACACAUGCAAGUCGAGCGGAUGAAGGGAGCUUGCUCCUGGAUUCAGCGGCGGACGGGUGAGUAAUGCCUAGGAAUCUGCCUGGUAGUGGGGGAUAACGUCCGGAAACGGGCGCUAAUACCGCAUACGUCCUGAGGGAGAAAGUGGGGGAUCUUCGGACCUCACGCUAUCAGAUGAGCCUAGGUCGGAUUAGCUAGUUGGUGGGGUAAAGGCCUACCAAGGCGACGAUCCGUAACUGGUCUGAGAGGAUGAUCAGUCACACUGGAACUGAGACACGGUCCAGACUCCUACGGGAGGCAGCAGUGGGGAAUAUUGGACAAUGGGCGAAAGCCUGAUCCAGCCAUGCCGCGUGUGUGAAGAAGGUCUUCGGAUUGUAAAGCACUUUAAGUUGGGAGGAAGGGCAGUAAGUUAAUACCUUGCUGUUUUGACGUUACCAACAGAAUAAGCACCGGCUAACUUCGUC